UGAAUUUUUUGAUUAAAGUACCUUUUAGGUGGUCAAAUGACUAGGAUUAGAUACCCUAUUAGUCCACUCUUAAUUAACCUGGGUAGUAGAAUCGAAACCUAAAGAAUCUGGCGGUUUCUAAACCUACUAGAGGAACCUGCCCCAUAAACGACAAUCCACGAAAAAAUUCACCCGGGCUAGUUAUGCAGCUUAUAUACCGUCGUUUAGAGGACUAAAUAAAUAGAUCCUCUUAAAAGCUUAGGCUAAUAAAUCAGAUCAAGGUGUAGCUCAUGCCCGGGAGAGGGUGGGUUACAAUGAAAAUUCAUACGGAGCUUUUAUUUUAUGAUAGAAAAGAAGGUGGAUUUAGAAGUAAGACUUAAUAUACUGAAAAAGGCUCUCAGAAAUGUACACAUCGCCCGUCGCUCUCUUGUCCGAAGAGAUAAGUCGUAACAAAGUAGGUGGACCGGAAGGUCUAUCUCGAAAGA
Molecule: ribosomal RNA, 464 nt
Filed under: Artemia parthenogenetic lineage
Lineage: Eukaryota; Metazoa; Arthropoda; Branchiopoda; Anostraca; Artemiidae
Description: Artemia parthenogenetica partial 12S ribosomal RNA
Source: RNAcentral